GCUCCUAUUAGAAGUCCAUUCAGCAGCAAUGUGCCGACCUCAGUAUCUCUGCCAAAUGGAACAAAUUUACCUCCUUCACUUGCAUUACCACCAACCAUGCCUGCCCCUUUGCCACAAGAAAUUAGAGGGCUUGCACCAUCGUACUCACCUAGCAGUAGCAGUCCAAUAGCAAGGACACCGGAUAAAAUGGCUCCUCCACCAUUAAUUUUUAAAGGACAAUGGGAAUACUUGGUGACAGUAAUGG
This 244-nucleotide unclassified non-coding RNA is filed under the name Hevea brasiliensis (rubber tree). Lineage: Eukaryota; Viridiplantae; Streptophyta; Magnoliopsida; Malpighiales; Euphorbiaceae. The record is from RNAcentral.